Molecule: long non-coding RNA, 1042 nt
Filed under: Strigops habroptila (Kakapo)
Lineage: Eukaryota; Metazoa; Chordata; Aves; Psittaciformes; Psittacidae
Description: lncRNA (ENSSHBG00005016028.1)
Source: RNAcentral
UUUGUUUUGAGAUCGGAUUUUAAUGUAUGUGUCAUCAAAACAGUGUAACUGUUAUCAUUUCUUAACAUUUUAGGGCAGAAAAAGACAUGGUCUUUACAAACACUAGUCCCCAAGCUCACGCACGUGUUUUACUGGAUUGCUUCUUCCUCAGACAAGAUGUUCUCAGCAUAAACACCUAGGAAUCUCCUGCUUUUGCUGUCUCACUGCCUUCUGCAGGACUUGUGGAGAGCUAUAACAUCACCUGGGCCAUCUCCAAAGAGCAGCCUACUCCCUAUGUCACCUUCAUCUGGAAAGCCAGGCUCUGCAGAGACCAUCUUUCUGCUGUGGGAAUAAAGCAAAAGCAGCAUUACUAGAAGAGCCAGCAGCAGUAAGUUUAGAAAAAAAGUAGGUUUAUAAAGUAGUUUAUUAUAAAGUAGGUUUAUGCAGGAAAACAAAUCAACCCCCCGCCAAAACCAGAACCUCAGGAUCAAUGGUCUAAAACCAUCACCCCAUGUCCUGUCACAACAGGCCCCGCUAAAGACUCUCCCUAUCUUUCUUAUAGGCUCUUUUGAGUACUGAAAAGCCACAAUAAGGUCUCCCGGGAAUCUUCUCCAGACUGAACAACCCCAACUCUCUCAGCCGUUCCUCGUAGGAGAGGUGCUCCAGCCCUCGAAUGGAGUGACCCGUUUGCUAAAUAUAUCGCUAUAAAACUAAAUCCCCAUGGAAGGCAUCUGAAUGCCAUGUGCUCACUGCAGAGUGUUACCUCCACAGCCCGUCGGGAGGCCCCAGCAGCAAGGGCCUAGCCCUAAAGCGGCCAGAAGGCUCAUGAGGUAACCGAAUGUGAUCAGACUUUAAGCCCCUUCACAGCCCUUCCUACAGCUCGGGCAUGGUAGUGCCUGGUGUUACCUCACACCCACCGCCAUUCCCCGGCCUCCCAACCGCAGCCCCGUCCAACUCACCGAGGAGCCGCUCGCAGCGGUCCCAACGCGGUUCCCGGCCACUCUUAACGUGGUCCCGGUGCCGCUUCCCGCCUCCAUGUCCGGCCCUGAGCGCAUGGCGAAAG